Molecule: long non-coding RNA, 767 nt
Organism: Meleagris gallopavo (turkey)
Lineage: Eukaryota; Metazoa; Chordata; Aves; Galliformes; Phasianidae
Source: RefSeq, a predicted model, not a curated record
GGGAGUGCGGUGGGGAGGGAGAGGAUGAAAGCAGCAAAGAGCUGCAUUUAUGAGGCUGUUUUUCUUUCGGUGAAAAGAAGCAUUUAUCAGUGAUUUCAUAUAUCAUGUGAGAGGUGGCUUCCUGCCAAUUUUCGAAGGAUGCAAACAACCCGCUGACAUCAUAUGCUAAAUAUAGAGCAGCUCCCGCUUUAGGUGGAUAAAUAAUGCAGAUGCACAAGCCUGGGUCUUCGGUUACAUACUCAUUAGGAUCGGCCUGUCAGGUUCGUACAAUCGAGAGAACACCAUCCAGCUCCAAUGCGGAGUGAGAGAUCAAAGGCACUGUGCGGGAGGAAGAGUCCAGAGCCAUUCCCACCCGAGGAGAAGGGAGACCCGAGAGCAGGAAACGCGAAGACAAUGAGCCAUAAAGCUGCCGCAAGGUGUUGGAUCGAUGACAACAUCUGCAUGAAUCCUUCCCCUGGCAGCCAGGGAUACAAUAGAAGCUGUUCCUAUGGAAACCAGAGCAAAAGCAUCAGGCAGGAGGAAGAAGGCUGCAAUUAAAGGUGGAAAAGCGAGAGAAUAUUUUUAGAUUGCUUCAGAGGAACGCUACAAAAUGACAUCAUCCUAUCUUGUUAUUUGCACUGGGGCUAUGUAACAUAUUGCGGCGUCUGCCCCUGGCCGUUAAAUGGAAAAAUGUUAUUAUGUGUGUGAAUUAUAAAUACUGUGGUGAAACCCGAGCUCGGGAGUUAUUAGACAUCACUGUUCUGUAAUAAAGAAGAACAUUUAAUACA